RNAcentral lists this ribosomal RNA (479 nucleotides) under uncultured bacterium. RNAcentral describes it as "partial 16S ribosomal RNA". It matches the Rfam family "Bacterial small subunit ribosomal RNA", at positions 356 to 851 of the family's 1533-position model. The record is from RNAcentral.
UGGGAAUAUUGGACAAUGGGCGAAAGCCUGAUCCAGCAAUGCCGCGUGAGUGAUGAAGGCCUUAGGGUUGUAAAGCUCUUUUACCCGGGAUGAUAAUGACAGUACCGGGAGAAUAAGCUCCGGCUAACUCCGUGCCAGCAGCCGCGGUAAUACGGAGGGACUAGCGUUGUUCGGAAUUACUGGGCGUAAAGCGCACGUAGGCGGCUUUGNAAGUUAAGGUGAAAGCCUGGAGCUCAACUCCAGAAUUGCCUUUAAGACUGCAUCGCUCGAAUCCAGGAGAGGUGAGUGGAAUUCCGAGUGUAGAGGUGAAAUUCGUAGAUAUUCGGAAGAACACCAGUGGCGAAGGCGGCUCACUGGACUGGUAUUGACGCUGAGGUGCGAAAGCGUGGGGAGCAAACAGGAUUAGAUACCCCUGGUAGUCCACGCCGUAAAACGAUGAUAAACUAGCUGUCCGGGGACUUGGUCCUUGGGUGGCGCAG